UACGUAGGGUGCGAGCGUUAAUCGGAAUUACUGGGCGUAAAGCGUGCGCAGGCGGUUUGCUAAGACAGGUGUGAAAUCCCCGGGCUUAACCUGGGAACUGCGCUUGUGACUGGCAGGCUAGAGUACGGCAGAGGGGGUGGAAUUCCUGGUGUAGCAGUGAAAUGCGUAGAUAUCAGGAGGAACACCGAUGGCGAAGGCAGCCCCCUGGGCCUGUACUGACGCUCAUGCACGAAAGCGUGGGGAGCAAACAGGAUUAGAUACCCGGGUA
This 268-nucleotide ribosomal RNA is filed under the name uncultured prokaryote. RNAcentral's name for it is "partial 16S ribosomal RNA". It matches the Rfam family "Bacterial small subunit ribosomal RNA", at positions 524 to 792 of the family's 1533-position model. The record is from RNAcentral.